GACGGAGGGUGCAAGCGUUGUUCGGAAUUACUGGGCGUAAAGCGCGGGCAGGUGGCCUUUUAAGUCCUUUGUGAAAUUCCGGAGCUCAACUCCGGAUGUGCAUAGGAUACUGGAAGGCUAGAGACUGGUAGAGGCGAGCGGAAUUCCUGGUGUAGCGGUGGAAUGCGCAGAUAUCAGGAGGAACACCAAUUGCGAAGGCAGCUCGCUGGGACGUUACUGACGCUGAGACGCGAAAGCGUGGGGAGCAAACAGG
RNAcentral lists this ribosomal RNA (253 nucleotides) under uncultured bacterium. RNAcentral describes it as "partial 16S ribosomal RNA". It matches the Rfam family "Bacterial small subunit ribosomal RNA", at positions 524 to 776 of the family's 1533-position model. The record is from RNAcentral.